This 71-nucleotide transfer RNA is filed under the name Planctomycetota bacterium. Its description in RNAcentral is "Planctomycetes bacterium (bioreactor metagenome) tRNA-Gly". It matches the Rfam family "tRNA". From Rfam's summary of the family: Transfer RNA (tRNA) molecules are approximately 80 nucleotides in length. Their secondary structure includes four short double-helical elements and three loops (D, anti-codon, and T loops). Lineage: Bacteria; Pseudomonadati; Planctomycetota. The record is from RNAcentral.
GCGUCCGUGGUGUAGCAGCAACACGCCACUCUUCCAAAGUGGGUACGCGGGUGCGACUCCCGCCGGAUGCU